This 1284-nucleotide long non-coding RNA is filed under the name Homo sapiens (human). Its description in RNAcentral is "HSALNT0142116". The record is from RNAcentral. Lineage: Eukaryota; Metazoa; Chordata; Mammalia; Primates; Hominidae.
CAUAUGCUCUCCUAGGUCCUUCUCUUGCCAACAGCAGUUCAUAGGACUUCUCAGCUUUUAUGAUUGAGUAAUAAUUUCUUAUAAUAAAUACAUUUUUAUCUCUAUCUAUAUAUAUCUAUCUUUCUGUCUAGCUAUAUUCUAUUGGUCCUGUUUCUACUUUGGUUUAAUUUAGAUGAAGGUACUAAAAAACUUAGGGUGACUGGAAUGUAAGAAUGGAUUUGCCAAUGAAGUUUACUCACUCUGGGAGGGUACAGAAGACAAUACUGUAGAAAACAUAUUUGGGCAAGGAGCCCUGUGAUUGCUGUUCUCUGUAGGCUAUACCUUAGAGUGCAAAGUACAGUCACUGCACUGGGAAACUUAAAUGCAAAGGAAGUAAACGGAUCCCAGGGUGGCAGGAGCUCAGUAGCAACACUCAACUACCAAAGGUAAGGUGGAAGUGGUAGCUGUAAUGAACAGCAGAGUCAAAAUUGCAAUCAAAAUAGUCUGACUUGUGUAGACGUAUACUGUUGGCUGGUUGAUUAUGAAGCUCCUAUAAGUGAAAUAGACAGAAAGCCUAAAUUGCUCCUUGAUAUGUAUAAGCAGAAAAGGCCUAUGUCAAGUGAAGAAACACCUUACAUGAAUCAUAAAAAAGAAGAGUAAUGGUCCUUCAAUCAGUUCCCAGCCUAGAGCCAAUAGGCAGGCCCAGAAAUCUUUGAAUGAAAAAAAAGCCUGGGUCUCCUUCAGGAAAUUCCUCAGUACAGUGCCAAAAAGCGUAUGUCAUUAAUAUUUUUUCAGCCUUUCUCAAAGAGAUUUAUGGCAUUUUACCAGGGUAACUGUGCCCUAUUUGACCUGUUCACAAGAUAGAUGGAUCUUGGAGAAUGACAGUGGAUUAUCGUAAGCUUAGCCAAGUCAUGAGUCUAAUUGUAGCUGCUGUACCAGAUAUGGCUUCAUUGCGUGACAGGGCUCAAGCAGGCCCUAAAGGCAUAAGUAAGUAACAUGAAGAAGUGGCCCAGAUGCUCAUGAUUCCCACUUCUGCUACGUUGCCUUUUCUCUCCCAGCUUGCAGUUAUGCACUUGUGCAGAGUUCCCAAAGUUUUUGAGUGGAAGAUUUUAAUACUCUAGUAGACAGGAUGACCCAUUCUGUGGAUACCAGUCCACCUUUUCCUUCAAACUCUGCUGUCAGUGCCGAAUAAGUUCAUGAGCAAAAUGCCUUACAAGGUUGUGCCACAAUUCUUCAGAUGAUCAAUGUCUAUUGUUGGUUCUGUUCUUCCAUAGCCAGGAUUUAUAGGUUCAGGACUCAUGCUGU